GACGAACGCUGGCGGCGUGCUUAACACAUGCAAGUCGAGCGGUAAGGCCCUUUCGGGGUACACGAGCGGCGAACGGGUGAGUAACACGUGGGUGACCUGCCCUCAGCUCUGGGAUAAGCCUGGGAAACCGGGUCUAAUACUGGAUAUGACUCCAUGACGCAUGUUGUGGGGUGGAAAGCCUUGUGCGGCUGAGGAUGGGCCCGNGGCCUAUCAGCUUGUUGGUGGGGUGANGGCCUACCCAAGGCGACGACGGGUAGCCGGCCUGAGAGGGCGACCGGCCACACUGGGACUGAGACACGGCCCAGACUCCUACGGGAGGCAGCAGUGGGGAAUCUUGCGCAAUGGGCGAAAGCCUGACGCAGCGACGCCGCGUGAGGGAUGACGGCC
This 387-nucleotide ribosomal RNA is filed under the name uncultured bacterium. Its description in RNAcentral is "bacterial SSU rRNA". It matches the Rfam family "Bacterial small subunit ribosomal RNA", at positions 28 to 416 of the family's 1533-position model. The record is from RNAcentral.